AUGGUUUUCAUGGCUGAGAGUAGAGACAACUUGGCAGUAAGAAUUAUUCCUAACUCAAUUGUUUAUUUCCUUUAAAAUUAUUUAUUUUUAGUUUCACAAAAUAUUAAAAAAGAUUCGUAGUUAAUGUUGCAGUUGGAUUUGGAAAGAAACAAACUAGCCCAGUAUGCGAUUCAGUUUAUGGUGCAGAGGAGGGUGAUACGUGUACUUUUGUCAUUGAAAAGUUCAAUUUGAGUUUUGAUUUCUUCCUUUCUAUCAACCCUAAUAUCAAUUGCAACAACUUCUUUGUGGGUCAACGGCUUUGUACUGAAGGGACUGCAACUGAGCUUCGAGUUUAG
RNAcentral lists this long non-coding RNA (335 nucleotides) under Prunus dulcis (almond). RNAcentral's name for it is "sRNA ncRNA". The record is from RNAcentral. Lineage: Eukaryota; Viridiplantae; Streptophyta; Magnoliopsida; Rosales; Rosaceae.